Molecule: ribosomal RNA, 120 nt
Filed under: uncultured bacterium
Lineage: Bacteria
Description: partial 16S ribosomal RNA
Rfam family: Bacterial small subunit ribosomal RNA
Source: RNAcentral
GACGAACGCUGGCGGCGUGCCUAAUACAUGCAAGUCGAGCGAACCGAUAGAUUAGCUUGCUAUUCUUAAGGUUAGCGGCGGACGGGUGAGUAACACGUGGGCAACCUGCCCUAUAGACUG